Nycticebus coucang (slow loris) is the source of this 1299-nucleotide RNA transcript. It is a transcript of the gene named survival motor neuron protein-like, with no coding region annotated. The record is from RefSeq and is a predicted model, not a curated record. NCBI's taxonomy places the organism in Eukaryota, Metazoa, Chordata, Mammalia, Primates, Lorisidae. The transcript has 4 exons.
AUGGGGACAGAGCUGCAGCCGCCCUGCAGCUCACUCAAUGCAGAACUGCAACUGAAGACGCAGACAGUGAGGGAGUACAACACCAGCCACAGGGCUGGGGGUCAGAGGAAAGAGAAGGAAGGCGAGGGGACCCAGGUGGUGCUGGAGCUUUUCAGGAUCCUGACUGUGGUGGUGGAGUCACUAACAGGUGAUAAAAUUCCUGGCAGUGGCGGCGGUGGAGGCGGUGGUGUGGUCCGGGGCAGGAGGACUCGGUGCUGUUCUGGCGAGGUACAGGCCAGAGUGAUGAUUCUGACAUUUGGGACGAUUCGGCAUUGAUAAAAGCUUAUGAUAAAGCUGUGGCUUCAUUUAAGCAUGCUCUCAAGAAUGGUGACAUUUGUGAAACCUCAGAUAAACCAAAAGGCACACCUAGAAGAAAACCUGCUAAGAAGAAUAAAAGCCAAAAAAGGAAUACUGCAACGCCCUUGAAACAGUGGAAAGUUGGUGACAAAUGUUCUGCCAUUUGGUCGGAAGAUGGUUGCCUUUACCCAGCUACCAUCGCCUCGGUUGAUUUUAAGAGAGAAACCUGUGUUGUGGUUUACACUGGAUAUGGAAAUAGGAGCAAAAUCUGUCUGAUCUACUUUCCACAACCUCUGAAGUAACUAAUAAUAUAGAACGGAAUGCUCAAGAGAAUGAAAAUGAAAAUCAAAGUUCAACAAAUGAAAGUGAAAACUCUAGGUCUCCUGGAAAUAAAUCAAAUAAUAUCAAGUCAAAAACUACUCCAUGGAACUCUUUUCUCCCUCUGGCUCCCCCCAUGCCAGGGUCAGGACUGGGACUAGGAAAGCCAGGUUUAAAAUUCAAUGGCCCCCCACUGCCACCGCCGCGGCCACCACCCUACUUCCUGUCAUGCUGGCUGCCUCCAUUUCCUUCUGCACCACCAAUAAUUCCCCCACCACCUCCCAUAUGUCCAGAUUCUCUUGAUGAUACUGAUGCUUUGGGAAGUAUGUUAAUCUCUUGGUACAUGAGUGGCUAUCAUACUGGCUAUUAUAUGGGUUUUAGACAAAAUCAAAAAGAAGGACGGUAUUCACAUUCCAGUUAAGGAGAAAUACUGAGGAUAGAGCAACAAGUUAAAUGGCACCACUAAAGAAAUGAUCAGACAGGUCCAGAAUGUGGAAUGCUGUAGAAGAUAACGGCCUUGUUUCUUCAAAAUAUCAGAGUUGGGAAGGAAAAAAGGAGAUGUGAAUGGGUAACUGUUCUGGAUUUACAGUUGCUUAAGAGACAUAACCAAAUGCAAUGUGGAAUCCUUGAUUGGACCCUAUUUUA